GCUAGAAUAGCUCAGUUGGUAGAGCAGUGGACUGAAGCUCCUCGUGUCACCAGUUCAAAUCUGGUUUCUGGCA
RNAcentral lists this transfer RNA (73 nucleotides) under Olisthodiscus luteus. RNAcentral describes it as "tRNA-Phe". It matches the Rfam family "tRNA". Rfam says of the family: Transfer RNA (tRNA) molecules are approximately 80 nucleotides in length. Their secondary structure includes four short double-helical elements and three loops (D, anti-codon, and T loops). Lineage: Eukaryota; Olisthodiscophyceae; Olisthodiscaceae. The record is from RNAcentral.